Molecule: long non-coding RNA, 1213 nt
Organism: Dermacentor andersoni
Lineage: Eukaryota; Metazoa; Arthropoda; Arachnida; Ixodida; Ixodidae
Source: RefSeq, a predicted model, not a curated record
CUAAACACGUCGCGCUCAGACAUGUUUCCGCCUUGUAAGUGAUGAAAAUGCUCCUAAUGGUCACAACGCAAAAUAUGUUUGUCUAAAUAGCUAAUCCACCUUGUGAAGGUGGUUGCCCAGCGAAGCUGUGGUGUCACCGAAUCCGAUAAUGGGACGUAACCUUGCACUGUCCAACCUGAGCACGACGCCGUUGGCAUAUGGACGUUGCUGUUCCCGUUGCGGCUCAUCGUCUUCACGUUGCUCUUCGGGAGUCCUAAUUAUGUGCGGCCUCUCCAUAGUACUAUCAGAGCACAUGUGAUAUCAGUUGCUAGGCUGGUUCUUCUGUUCCAUAUGUGAAAGUGCAGUUAUGUCACUCCCCAACGUAAGCUACAGUUGCCACUUUCCGGCAACUCUUAUGCAACCGUAAUAUUUACCACGAAGCGCUCGCGGUGAACACUAUGCGUGAAGGCGAGCUUUCUGUUUUUUUCUUUUUUUUUUACCUCUCGCACAGCCGCGACCACCGCUGCCGCGGAUGCUAGAGUCACUGGAAAAAAUUUCCACUCGAGUCACUGGCAGGCCGACAGUGAUUGCGUCACUCGUGUCACGUGACCUUUUGCCGCCAUAGCCCUUCCAAGUCCUUUCAGUAGGCACGUCGAACAGGGCGCGGAUGCAACGCAGGUGGAGAGCGUGCCCUUUGGCUGGCGACAGCGCUUUGCUUCUGGCGACAGCACUUUGUUUCUGUCGAACACAGGCGACAGAAGUUAUCGUAGCAUUAUGUCUGUAUGCGACGCCUUCACGUGUAGCAACCAAACGGAGUCGGGAAUGACAUUUUUCUGCAUUCUGUGCGGGAAGGAUGACCGGGAUCGACGUUCUGCCUGGCUGCACAGAAUUGGCCGCAGAAGCUUCGGGCACUCGAACACCCGCUUGUGCGAGGCGAACGUCGACCGACCAAGUUGCCGACAGCUGAUAACCCAGAAGGUUCAGGUGUCGCCAUACAACAAGGAACAUUGACAACAAGGAACAGGAAGCCAAGGAGCACCUGACGAAGACCCCCAUGUGCCCUUGUCGAACCAUUGAAUCUAGGCUGAGGCUUCCCGUAUUUUCCCACAACUAACUCUGCAGUUGUAAUGUUAAAAUAAACACAGCCGUCGGGCUAUAUUGUUGAUUUUACAGUCGAAUGCCUGCUAUUGUGUGAAAACUUGGUGCCACAAUAAAUACUUUGUUUAGAGCUGUA